This 116-nucleotide small RNA is filed under the name Arabidopsis thaliana (thale cress). RNAcentral's name for it is "ATSL123680". The record is from RNAcentral. Lineage: Eukaryota; Viridiplantae; Streptophyta; Magnoliopsida; Brassicales; Brassicaceae.
AGGAUUUAAGCGAAAAGACAGAAACAGGGAAGGUCUUGAAGAUGAGUCUACUUAGAUCGCUGUCUCAUCUUUCGUCUCUUCCUCUUCAGCCUCCUCAUUCGCUUCUUCUUCCACUG